RNAcentral lists this ribosomal RNA (367 nucleotides) under uncultured soil bacterium. RNAcentral's name for it is "bacterial SSU rRNA". It matches the Rfam family "Bacterial small subunit ribosomal RNA", at positions 26 to 395 of the family's 1533-position model. The record is from RNAcentral.
AGAUUGAACGCUGGCGGCAGGCCUAACACAUGCAAGUCGAGCGGUAGAGAGGUGCUUGCAUCUCUUGAGAGCGGCGGACGGGUGAGUAAUGCCUAGGAAUCUGCCUAGUGGUGGGGGAUAACGUUCGGAAACGGACGCUAAUACCGCAUACGUCCUACGGGAGAAAGCGGGGGACCUUCGGGCCUCGCGCCAUUAGAUGAGCCUAGGUCGGAUUAGCUAGUUGGUGAGGUAAUGGCUCACCAAGGCGACGAUCCGUAACUGGUCUGAGAGGAUGAUCAGUCACACUGGAACUGAGACACGGUCCAGACUCCUACGGGAGCAGCAGUGGGGAAUAUUGGACAAUGGGCGAAAGCCUGAUCCAGCCCAU